ACUAAGAAAAGCAAUAAGAGAUGUGGUCUCCAUAUUCAUGAUCUUUCUCUCUUUGUAUAUAAGGAUGAUCUAAGCUUUAUAUUUACAAAAUCAACUUGAGUAUUAUUCAAUGGAAAUCAACUAUCAAGCAAAUAAUUCUAUUGUUGUGAUCUCACCUCAAUAUUGCGCACCAUAUCAAGUGGAGCUUUAUACUGCCAAGAGAGUUAAAAAAGUAACAGAAAGUAGGCACUUAGGAGUUUUUGAUAUCAAUGGCAAUAUCAUCUUUAAAAAAACUAAUGGUCAUUUCAGCAGUCGCCUUAUCCUCUUCGAUGCUGCCGGAGUUCCUGUCGCAUCUCUAAAACCAGUGAAGUUCUCUUUUCAUCAGAGGUGGAAAGUUUAUAGAGGGGAUAGCUCAGAGCCAAGAGACCUAUUGUUUACUGUAAAGAAAUCUCAGUAUCUAUAAUUCAAGAUUCAAUUGGAUGUGUUCUUAGCAUCUAACACAGCUGAAGAUAUAUGUGAUUUUAAGAUUAAACAAACUUAUAAUGAGAAAUCUUGCGUCAUUUAUCGAGGGGACUCAGAAAACAUUAUUGCUGAGAUGCACAAAAACAAGGCUGUCCGAGAUAAAGUUCGUGGGAAGGACACAUUCUCAGUCACCGUCUCCCCGAAUGUUGAUUAUGCAUUCGUUAUUGCCAUGGGUGCGGUUCUCAAUGAGGUUAAUACACCUAGUAGUAGCAGUA
This is a long non-coding RNA of Papaver somniferum (opium poppy), 716 nucleotides long. RefSeq lists it as uncharacterized. The record is from RefSeq and is a predicted model, not a curated record. The transcript has 3 exons. NCBI's taxonomy places the organism in Eukaryota, Viridiplantae, Streptophyta, Magnoliopsida, Ranunculales, Papaveraceae.